RNAcentral lists this ribosomal RNA (299 nucleotides) under Escherichia coli. RNAcentral describes it as "partial 23S ribosomal RNA". It matches the Rfam family "Bacterial large subunit ribosomal RNA", at positions 1614 to 1894 of the family's 2925-position model. Lineage: Bacteria; Pseudomonadati; Pseudomonadota; Gammaproteobacteria; Enterobacterales; Enterobacteriaceae. The record is from RNAcentral.
AAAGCCUCUAAGCAUCAGGUAACAUCAAAUCGUACCCCAAACCGACACAGGUGGUCAGGUAGAGAAUACCAAGGCGCUUGAGAGAACUCGGGUGAAGGAACUAGGCAAAAUGGUGCCGUAACUUCGGGAGAAGGCACGCUGAUAUGUAGGUGAAGCGACUUGCUCGUGGAGCUGAAAUCAGUCGAAGAUACCAGCUGGCUGCAACUGUUUAUUAAAAACACAGCACUGUGCAAACACGAAAGUGGACGUAUACGGUGUGACGCCUGCCCGGUGCCGGAAGGUUAAUUGAUGGGGUUAGC